RNAcentral lists this long non-coding RNA (2740 nucleotides) under Diabrotica virgifera virgifera (western corn rootworm). Its description in RNAcentral is "uncharacterized LOC126882200". The record is from RNAcentral. Lineage: Eukaryota; Metazoa; Arthropoda; Insecta; Coleoptera; Chrysomelidae.
GUUAUUAUGUAUAUUAAUAUAUGUAUAUUAAUGUAUUAUAUGUAUAUUGAAGUAUGUAUAUUGAAGUUGUCAAGUUGACAUAAGAUAUAGGUUAGGUUAGGAGGAGCCGGAAGGCGGGAACAAAAAUGCCAAAAUUUUAAAAUCAUAAUAUGCGUAAUGGAGCAUCGCGCAGCUCGCAUGGUAAAGGUAAAAAUUUAAGGUGGGAUCCCUAGAUCCAAGUUAACCGAUAACCUAAAAAUUUAGUAAAAAAGUAAAAAUUUUGAUUGGAAAAAAAUGCAUCGAUAAGGGGGUGUGGGAAAUGGAAAUUAGUGGCUUUUUUGCUGUACUGUCUGCUAGUUUUUGCUCUGGGCACUGGCUAGAUCUCUUGUUUAAACAAUUUUAAUCAGCUGAAAGUGGCCUACAAAAAAAAACCAAGAAGGAAAUGUAUAGCCUUGUGGCUAUGAAAGACAAAAGAGAGAUAUAAAAAGUGUAUUGGCUAGUUGGAAGAAAGUCCACAUUGUCCAUGCAUAAUAAGUUAUUACAUUAUCAACAAAUAUCAAGAAGAUAGCAGGGUCACGAGCAUCAACUUCAUGAGUUCAAGAAUAUCGAGGAAAUCCAGCUCCUCGAUACUACUGGGCAAACUAGAAGAUUGAAGAGGACAAAUCCUUUUGAACUAGUUUGAGUGAUAGGUGAUAGUGAAAAACAGAGCAUAGUGCUUGUGUGCUGUGCCUGUGUAUGUUAGAAUAGUGCACGAUCUUGUUAGAUUAGAUAAGAGACGCUAUGGGGUAAGCUCUUCAUUUUAAGAAACAGUAGUAAUUUAGGUUAAAUUAAAAUUGCUCAUUGGUCAGUUAUGACCAGAUUGUUUUUUUAUGUUUGGCAAAAAGGACUUAAGUCAGAAUUGCACAUUGAUAAUGUUUUGAUGAUUUCUGGACCAGAAAAAAACUGUUGUAGAUGUAAACUGUAUGUACAGUAGAAUCUACUACAGUACUGUAGAAAUCAUCAAAAUAUUAUCGAUGUGCAAUUCUGACUUAAGCCCUUUUUCCCAAACAUCAGAGAAUUGUAAUGUACAAUAAUUCUCCUAUCUGCUUUUUCAUGAAUUUUGUAGGAGACGAAAAACCAUUUUUAGGAUCAUCUGCUUUCACAUGUUUUGUAGUAAAUAGAUAGUUGAAUUUACUACAAAACAUGUCAAAAAAUAUAUGAAAACAGGAGGUGACUAUAAAAAAAGUUUUUAGUCUCUCUUACAAAACUCAUGAAAAAACAAAUCGGAGGUAUGUCACAUCAGUGACUAAGAAUGUCUAAAAAAUAUACUUUGAUGUCCCAAGAACCAAAUAUAACCUACAGUCCAUCUAAUUUACUUACUGUUGCACGUCAUUAUCUACGCCAGAGAUCUAGUUGACAUAGUUGCCAAAGUAUAAAAAGAUCCUGAAUCCAUUUUAAAUCAAAUAUGUCACAUAAUUAUUGUAAACGUGGAUUAUACAACAAAACAAAUUAAUAUUCAAUGUAAAUAAGUAAAAACUUAAGAAAUAGAGAACAAGAAUUAAGUUAUAAUCUUUUAAGAUUUGCAGUGCAAGAGUUUUUGCACUGCAUUGUUAAUAAUUAAAAAACGGCUCCGAACUCUUGGCAAAAAGCCGGUAGGUUUCUUUGUAUAAGUAUGUCUACAAUAACAACUAAAAAAGUUGUCAGAUACCUCGAUUAUUCCAAGUCGUUAUAAAAUUAGGUGAAAUUUAUAUUUUUAUAGUAGAGGAUCUUUUUAUAGUAAAGUAAAUAAUAAAAACAGUAAAUAUAAUAAAUAAAACAGAUACUUAUAGUAAAGAAUAUAAACAAAUAUGAAGUGUCAUCACCGUAACUGUCAAAUAAAUGUUACCAAUUUAUUCUAAAAUGUCACCUUCGUUCGAUUACAGUUACAGUGUGAUCCGAACAAAUCUGCUUCAUAAAAACGCUUUAUAAUCCAUUUAUACAAAUUAAAUGAAACAUAUUAUUGUGUAUUUCUGUAGGUUAACAUUAAUAGAAAUCUUCAAAUAUUAUUUCUACGCAUAUAUAAUAAAAUAUGUCUAGUGGCUGUAAUUCCAGUGUACUCGGCAAAGUGAUUCUAAAAAAGAACACACCUACCGCCUAAAUAUUUCGUGUUGGUAUCAUGCAACCUCACAGGCUACGACGCGGAUGACGCGCAACAGUUAGUAAAUUAGACGAAGUAUGUAGAUAUAUACAGGGUGUAACAAAAAUACAGGUCAUAAAUUUAAUCACAUAUUCUGGGACCAAAAAUAGUUUGAUUGGACCUAACUUACCUUAGUACAAAUGUGCACACAAGAAAAGUUACAGCCCUUUGAAGUUAUAUAUAUAUAUAUAAUAGCACCAAGGGUCUUAGAGGCCCAUGGCUUGAAAAGUUUGUUUUUUUUCUUCAUUUUCACGUUUCUUUAUGUACUGAGAUCUUCUCUGGCUUGAUAUGUGAUUUUUCUCCAUUCCUUCCUGUUAUUCAUUUUUCUUUUCUGACCCUGUAGCACCAUUCUUUCCAAAUCUUUUUCGACCUCUUGCUUCCAUCUAUUUUUCGGCCUUCCUCUUCUCUUUCUUGAAGCUGUAGUGUAGUUUAGUACCAUUUUUGGAGUCCUCGUGUUUGGCAUCCUUUCAAUGUGACCUCGCCAUCUAAGUCUCUGUGCCUUUAUCAUUCAUUUGAAGUUACAAGAUGAAGUGAUUUUUUCCAAUAUAUCGAAAACUAUUAGAGAUUUUUUAUUGAAAAUGGACAUGUGGCAUUAUUAUGGCAGCA